UCGAUGCCUAAACAUCAAACGACCCGCGAACGCGUUCACGAACUUUCUGUGCCUGGGGGGGAGCAUCGUCUUGCACGCACGCACCCUCCCGGCGCCUCAACAAAACCCCGGCGCAGGUCGCGCCAAGGAACUCAAACGAAUUCGCCCGCCCCCCGCCCCGCCUCGGUGUGCGGAGGGCGGAGCAUUCUUGUCGUAUUAUUCACAACGACUCUCGGCAACGGAUAUCUCGGCUCUSGCAUCGAUGAAGAACGUAGCGAAAUGCGAUACUUGGUGUGAAUUGCAGGAUCCCGCGAACCACCGAGUCUUUGAACGCAAGUUGCGCCCGGAGCCUUCUGGCCGAGGGCACGUCUGCCUGGGCGUCACGCAUCGCUGACGCAACCCCCCUUCGGGUUGGUUGCGCAGGUGCGGGCACACGCUGGCCUCCCGUGCGCACCGUCGUGCGGAUGGCUUAAAUUCGAGUCCUCGGCGCCUGUCGUCGCGACACUACGGUGGUUGAUCCAACCUCGGUACCGCGUCGCGACCUCAGUCCGCGCAACUCCUCCCCGCGAGCGAGCGAGGACUUCUAUGUCGACCCUCUGAACGUCGUCCCCAAAGACGAUGCUCUCGACGCGACCCC
This 616-nucleotide unclassified non-coding RNA is filed under the name Luffa aegyptiaca (smooth loofah). RNAcentral's name for it is "sequence contains ITS1, 5.8S rRNA gene and ITS2". The stretch from base 207 to 362 matches the Rfam family "5.8S ribosomal RNA". Lineage: Eukaryota; Viridiplantae; Streptophyta; Magnoliopsida; Cucurbitales; Cucurbitaceae. The record is from RNAcentral.